This 253-nucleotide ribosomal RNA is filed under the name uncultured bacterium. RNAcentral's name for it is "partial 16S ribosomal RNA". It matches the Rfam family "Bacterial small subunit ribosomal RNA", at positions 524 to 776 of the family's 1533-position model. The record is from RNAcentral.
UACGUAUGGGGCAAGCGUUGUUCGGAGUUAUUGGGCGUAAAGGGCGUGUAGGCGGCCCGUCAAGUCUGGUGUGAAAUCGCAGGGCUCAACCCUGCGUAUGCGCUGGAAACUGACAGGCUUGAGUCCUGAGGGGGAAACUGGAAUUCCUGGUGUAGGAGUGAAAUCUGUAGAUAUCAGGAAGAACACCGGUGGCGAAGGCGAGUUUCUACUCAUGGACUGACGCUGAGGCGCGAAAGCGUGGGGAGCAAACAGG